GAUCCUGGCUCAGGAUGAACGCUAGCUACAGGCUUAACACAUGCAAGUCGAGGGGCAGCAUGAAAGGAACUUCGGUUCUUUUUGAUGGCAACCGGCGCACGGGUGCGUAACGCGUAUCGAACCUGCCUCAUACUCGGGGAUAGCCUUGCGAAAGUAAGAUUAAUACCUGGCGGUCUCGGAUGGCCGCAUGACUAUCCGAGUGAAGAUUUAUCGGUAUGAGAUGGCGAUGCGU
This 232-nucleotide ribosomal RNA is filed under the name uncultured bacterium. RNAcentral's name for it is "partial 16S ribosomal RNA". It matches the Rfam family "Bacterial small subunit ribosomal RNA", at positions 15 to 236 of the family's 1533-position model. The record is from RNAcentral.